This is a non-coding RNA of Parelaphostrongylus tenuis, 81 nucleotides long. The record is from the annotation of a GenBank genome assembly. NCBI's taxonomy places the organism in Eukaryota, Metazoa, Nematoda, Chromadorea, Rhabditida, Metastrongylidae.
UAAAUGGUGGUUCAGUGGUAGAAUGCUCGCCUUCCACGCGGGUGACCCGCGUUCGAUUCCCAGCCAAUGCACCACAAUUAU